CGUUGAGAAGAAGCUAGGUGA
Molecule: non-coding RNA, 21 nt
Filed under: Rattus norvegicus (Norway rat)
Lineage: Eukaryota; Metazoa; Chordata; Mammalia; Rodentia; Muridae
Source: RNAcentral